GUGUCAGCCGCCGCGGUAAUACGGAGGAUCCAAGCGUUAUCCGGAAUCAUUGGGUUUAAAGGGUCCGUAGGCGGUUUAAUAAGUCAGUGGUGAAAUCUGGUCGCUCAACGAUCAAACGGCCAUUGAUACUGUUAGACUUGAAUUAUAAGGAAGUAACUAGAAUAUGUAGUGUAGCGGUGAAAUGCUUAGAUAUUACAUGGAAUACCAAUUGCGAAGGCAGGUUACUACUUAUGGAUUGACGCUGAUGGACGAAAGCGUGGGGAGCGAACAGGAUUAGAUACCCCCGUAGUCC
This 292-nucleotide ribosomal RNA is filed under the name uncultured bacterium. RNAcentral's name for it is "partial 16S ribosomal RNA". It matches the Rfam family "Bacterial small subunit ribosomal RNA", at positions 505 to 796 of the family's 1533-position model. The record is from RNAcentral.